RNAcentral lists this non-coding RNA (161 nucleotides) under human gut metagenome. RNAcentral's name for it is "Lysine riboswitch". It matches the Rfam family "Lysine riboswitch aptamer". From Rfam's summary of the family: Riboswitches are metabolite binding domains within certain messenger RNAs that serve as precision sensors for their corresponding targets. The record is from RNAcentral.
UUGAUAGAGGCGCAACAUUUAAGAGUAAGCACUUUUAGUGGAUUAGGCUCCUAUAUGUGUCUAAAAGGAAAUGUUGCCGAAGUUGUAUUUAUAGCCUAAAUAAAUAUUGCUGGGUCAUUGCAAAAUAUGUAAUGGACUGUCACUUAUGUGGAGCGCUAUCU